This 465-nucleotide ribosomal RNA is filed under the name uncultured bacterium. Its description in RNAcentral is "partial 16S ribosomal RNA". It matches the Rfam family "Bacterial small subunit ribosomal RNA", at positions 28 to 507 of the family's 1533-position model. The record is from RNAcentral.
GACGAACGCUGGCGGCGUGCUUAACACAUGCAAGUCGAACGGAAAGGCCCUGCUUGCAGGGUACUCGAGUGGCGAACGGGUGAGUAACACGUGGGUGAUCUGCCCUGCACUUCGGGAUAAGCCUGGGAAACUGGGUCUAAUACCGGAUAUGACCUUCCAUGUAGUGUGGGGGGUGGAAAGAUUUAUCGGUGUGGGAUGAGCCCGCGGCCUAUCAGCUUGUUGGUGGGGUAAUGGCCUACCAAGGCGUCGACGGGUAGCCGGCCUGAGAGGGUGGACGGCCACAUUGGGACUGAGAUACGGACCAGACUGCUACGGGAGGCAGCAGUGGGGAAUAUUGCACAAUGGGCGGAAGCCUUAUGCAGCGACGCCGCGUGGGUGAUGACGGCCUUCGGGUUGUAAACCUCUUUCGACAGGGACGAAGCUUCGGUGACGGUACCUGUAUAAGAAGCACCGGCUAACUACGUG